GUGUUUGACUAAAGGGAGAGAUGGUUAGCAUCUCCCCUGAGAGGGUUGGGAACAGCCUUUGGGCUUCCCUGUUUAACACAUACGGUUAUAGAAUCCUUUGCUGUGAGAGCACCAAGAACAAACAAAAACUAUAA
Non-coding RNA from Cucumis sativus (cucumber), 134 nucleotides. Lineage: Eukaryota; Viridiplantae; Streptophyta; Magnoliopsida; Cucurbitales; Cucurbitaceae. The record is from Rfam.